This 62-nucleotide transfer RNA is filed under the name Myocastor coypus (nutria). RNAcentral's name for it is "tRNA-Val". The record is from RNAcentral. Lineage: Eukaryota; Metazoa; Chordata; Mammalia; Rodentia; Myocastoridae.
CAUAGCUUAACUAAAGCAUCCGGCUUACACCCGGAAGAUAUCAAUUUCAUUGACUGCUUUGA